GAUUAUGGCUCAGAAUGAACGCUGGCGGCAUGGAUUAGGCAUGCAAGUCGAACGGGUCCCUUCGGGGGACUAGUGGCGCAAGGGUGAGUAACACGUGAGCAACCUGCCCCCGAAUCCGGAAUAAUCCAGGGAAACUUGGUCUAAAACCGGAUGUCGGCGUUUACCCGCAUGGGUUUCCGCUGAAAUAUUCAUAGUUCGGGGAUGGGCUCGCGUCCCAUUAGCUGGUUGGCGGGGUAACGGCCCACCAAGGCUACGACGGGUAGGUGGUCUGAGAGGAUGGUCACCCACACUGGGACUGAGACACUGCCCAGACUCCUACGGGAGGCUGCAGUCGAGAAUCUUCCGCAAUGGGCGCAAGCCUGACGGAGCGAUGCCGCGUGAGGGAAGAAGGCCUUCGGGUUGUAAACCUCUGUCACCCGGGACGAAAUCAAUGACGGUACCGGGAAAGGAAGCCACGGCUAACCACGUGCCAGCAGCCGC
This 480-nucleotide ribosomal RNA is filed under the name uncultured bacterium. RNAcentral describes it as "bacterial SSU rRNA". It matches the Rfam family "Bacterial small subunit ribosomal RNA", at positions 15 to 518 of the family's 1533-position model. The record is from RNAcentral.